RNAcentral lists this ribosomal RNA (253 nucleotides) under uncultured bacterium. Its description in RNAcentral is "partial 16S ribosomal RNA". It matches the Rfam family "Bacterial small subunit ribosomal RNA", at positions 524 to 776 of the family's 1533-position model. The record is from RNAcentral.
GACGAACCGAGCGAACGUUGUUCGGAAUCACUGGGCUUAAAGGGCGCGUAGGCGGGUGCUCAAGUCCGGGGUGAAAUCCUCCAGCUCAACUGGAGAACUGCCUCGGAUACUGGGCGUCUCGAGUGUGGUAGGGGUGUGCGGAACUAUCGGUGGAGCGGUGAAAUGCGUUGAUAUCGAUAGGAACUCCGGUGGCGAAGGCGGCACACUGGACCACUACUGACGCUGAUGCGCGAAAGCCAGGGGAGCAAACGGG